UGGGUCAUAUGGUAAGUGUAAGUUUAAUUUUGUAAGAAACUCAAACUUUUUCAAAGUGGCUGUCUCACCAGCAAUAACCGAGAGGUUCCAGUUGUUCUACAUCCUCUCCAGCAUUCAUUAUUUUUGAAAGCCAUUCUAAAAGGCAUAUUUCAAUUUUUAUUAGAUCAGUAUUAAAGAUUUACAUUAUUAAACUAUGUAAACAGGCCAGGCGUAAUAGUUCACGCCUGUAAUCUCUGCACUUUGGGAGGCCAAGGCAGUAGGAUCACUUGAGCUGAGAAGUUCCAGACCAGCCUGGUCAACAUAGUGAGACUCUGUACAAUAAAUAAAUAAAUAAAUAAAUAAAUCAGAAAAAAAUUAGCUAGGUCAGGCACAGUGGCUCAUGCCUGUAAUCCCAGCUACUUGAGAGGUCAACCUGGGAGGAUCGCUUGAGUCCAGGAGUUCGAGACCAGCCUGGACAACAUUGGGAGACACUGUCUAUUUAAAAAAAAAAAAUUAGCUGAGUGUGGUGGUGCCCUGUGAUCCCAGCUACUAAGGAGGCUGAGCCUGGAGUGCAGUGGCACAAUCACAGUUCACUGCAGCCUUGUUCCCGGAUUCAAGUGAUCCUCCCACCUCAGCCUCCCAAGCAGAUGGAACUACAGCCCACAGGGGAGACUUGUCAGGCCAGUGUGGGGGCUAAUGAAUAAAUGCUACACUGUGCCCACUCAGAGACACAAAGUCAAGAGUAGGAAGAAGCCAACCUCUGAGGUCACAACCCCCAGGAGACCUGGAGAACUGAAUGCUGCUGCCCCCAAGGAGGAGGCUGCUGUCUUAUCCCAGGAGGGAGAGCAGGAAAAUAAAAAGGUUCAAAAGGAAGUUGCUGCGUAUCCAUCUGAGGCCUCUGA
Molecule: small RNA, 881 nt
Filed under: Pongo abelii (Sumatran orangutan)
Lineage: Eukaryota; Metazoa; Chordata; Mammalia; Primates; Hominidae
Description: retained intron
Source: RNAcentral